GACGAACGCUGGCGGCGUGCCUAAUACAUGCAAGUCGAACGCAGGGGUGACGGGUGAGUAACACGUUGGUAAGCUCCCCUCAGAGGGGAGAAGACUUUGAAACAGGUGCUAUACCGAUACUGCUGGUUGGACCCGGGGUGCAUUAGCUAGUUGGUGAGGUAACGGCGCACCAAGGCCACGAUGCAUAGCCGAGCUGAGAGGGUGAUCGGCCACACUGGGACUGAGACACGGCCCAGACUCCUACGGGAGGCAGCAGUAGGGAAUCUUCGGCAAGGGGCGAAAGUCUGACCCAGCCAAGCCGCGUGAGUGAAGAAGGUUUUCGGAUCGUAAAACUCUGUUGUUAGAGAAGCGGUAUCUAACCAGAAAGCCACGGCUAACUACGUGCCAGCAGCCGCGGUAAUAC
This 403-nucleotide ribosomal RNA is filed under the name uncultured bacterium. Its description in RNAcentral is "partial 16S ribosomal RNA". It matches the Rfam family "Bacterial small subunit ribosomal RNA", at positions 28 to 526 of the family's 1533-position model. The record is from RNAcentral.